GCGGAAGUAGUUCAGUGGUAGAAUACAACCUUGCCAAGGUUGGGGUCGCAGGUUCGAAUCCCGUCUUCCGCU
This 72-nucleotide transfer RNA is filed under the name Peribacillus frigoritolerans. RNAcentral describes it as "[Brevibacterium] frigoritolerans tRNA-Gly". It matches the Rfam family "tRNA". Rfam says of the family: Transfer RNA (tRNA) molecules are approximately 80 nucleotides in length. Their secondary structure includes four short double-helical elements and three loops (D, anti-codon, and T loops). Lineage: Bacteria; Bacillati; Bacillota; Bacilli; Caryophanales; Bacillaceae. The record is from RNAcentral.